RNAcentral lists this ribosomal RNA (490 nucleotides) under uncultured bacterium. RNAcentral describes it as "partial 16S ribosomal RNA". It matches the Rfam family "Bacterial small subunit ribosomal RNA", at positions 30 to 507 of the family's 1533-position model. The record is from RNAcentral.
AUUGAACGCUGGCGGCAGGCCUAACACAUGCAAGUCGAACGGUAACAGGGAUCAGCUUGCUGAUUCGCUGACGAGUGGCGGACGGGUGAGUAAUGUCUGGGAAACUGCCUGAUGGAGGGGGAUAACUACUGGAAACGGUAGCUAAUACCGCAUAACGUCGCAAGACCAAAGAGGGGGACCUUCGGGCCUCUUGCCAUCGGAUGUGCCCAGAUGGGAUUAGCUAGUAGGUGGGGUAACGGCUCACCUAGUCGACGAUCCCUAGCUGGUCUGAGAGGAUGACCAGCCACACUGGAACUGAGACACGGUCCAGACUCCUACGGGAGGCAGCAGUGGGGAAUAUUGCACAAUGGGGGCAAGCAUGAUGCAGCCAUGCCGCGUGUAUGAAGAAGGCCUUCGGGUUGUAAAGUACUUUCAGCGGGGAGGAAGGGAGUAAAGUUAAUACCUUUGCUCAUUGACGUUACCCGCAGAAGAAGCACCGGCUAACUCCGUG